Molecule: microRNA precursor, 167 nt
Filed under: Marmota monax (woodchuck)
Lineage: Eukaryota; Metazoa; Chordata; Mammalia; Rodentia; Sciuridae
Source: RNAcentral
AAAUGGAAAAAAAAGGGCUGGGGAUGUGGCUCGGUUGUUAAGUGGUACCAAAAAUAAAUAAACAAAUAUAUAUAUGUGUGUGUAUGUGUACAUAUAUGUAUAUUCCAUUGAUCCCAAGGAUUCUCUACCACUGAGCUACAUCCCCAGCCCCUUUUUAAAUUACUUUU